Molecule: long non-coding RNA, 39506 nt
Filed under: Capsicum annuum
Lineage: Eukaryota; Viridiplantae; Streptophyta; Magnoliopsida; Solanales; Solanaceae
Description: long non-coding RNA (CANN_LNC006166)
Source: RNAcentral
AUAUACAAACCAAUCAAUCAAACAAACAAACAAACAAAUCCAAAAUUAUAGUGUUCAGUCCAAUUAUUACAAUCCAAAAAUAGAAAAAUGCGAAAAAUAUAAAUCCUAUUCUAAGCUAGUCCUAGACUAAGCUCCAAUGCUUCACCCGAUGCCUCGGGCCUUCAUCUCGAUCAUCUUCCGCCAACAUAGUACAUCGAGACAUUUCCCGAUGAAUAAAUACAAAUACCUCGAGGCAUUCCCCGGCCAAAUGAAUACAUUUUUCAAAUGCGGCAAACAAGACAUUCAACAUAUAUUUCAAACAUUCCAAUAAUCCCCCCAUUCUAAAUUUGCCUACCCGGCCUAAUGUUUGUCUGCCCGCUCGACGACAUAUCACAUUCAACAUCAACCAUAAAUCAAAAUACCAUAAUAUUCACUUUUUACUAAUUUUUGAUCCCUGUCCAAUUCAUUCUCAACCAAUGAUUAACACAACAUCCAACACUUUUCAAAUCACUUUUCAAAAUCCGAAACCAACAUCCAACACAUACAUCUAACAAAGAUUCAAACUAAGAACACGAGUCAUCCACAGCAACAAUCAAUAUUUUUGCUCAAAGUAUUCAAAACCAUACCAUAAAAUCACAACAUUAACCAAAAUUCGAGAAAAUGAAAGAGCGAAGUUAAGAGAUGGACCUUCAAAGAAUCGAUUUCAUAGAUAAUAUAAAAUUAAAGGAACCUGAAUCCGAGACCCCAAAUAGGAAAACCUCAAUAGCUAUGAAAUCCAAGUACGGUAUUGAAGAACUGAGACAUGAAAUGAAAUUUAAUGAAUGGGUUAUGACAAACCGAAGCCUAAAUCCCCAAGCCAACAAUGACUACCGAUGACCUCAAGACAGAAAUUACAACGGCACAAACCCAAAUCAAAUUGCGAAGCAACAAGAAAACCGUACCAAAAUUCCCAUACCAGUCACAAUUUCAACCGUUUUCCAAUGAACUUCACUGAAAUUGGACUGAAAUGGAUCAAACUUGGUCGAUUUUGUCUGAUUAUGGGGUCGAGCCGAUGCUGUUUUGGUCAAAAAUCAGGGCUAGUGAUGUUUUCUAAUAGAUUUGACUAGAUUUGUAAUGGCUUUGGCAUGUUUCCGGCGAGACUGUCACCAGAAUAGUAACCACCACUCUCUUCUCCCUCAAUUUCAAUCGCGGAUCUCUCUCUCUCUCGCUAUCUCUCACUGUGUGGUUAUGUGUAUCGUGUGCAUGUAUAAGUGUUUCUUCUCCGGUGAGGUGUGUUAAUGGCCUUCUCGUGAGUGAAUUAUGGGUGUAUAUAUGUUGUGAGGUGUGCUAGAGAGUGUGAGUGGGGAUUAUUUUUUGUGAGCCCUUUUUUUCGAAGGAUCCCCCUGAAAAAGAAGAAGCCCCAAAAAAAUAUUUUCUCCCUUGGUCCCCCCUUUUUUUUCUAUUUUUGUUGUGUAUAUAUGGUAUAUGCAGAUAGUGAGUGGAAUUAUGAGAGUGGGUGGUGAUGUGUUGUCCAAAAUUAAAGGAGGAGUGGUUAAUUUUGUUACCAAAAGAAUAAUUGAGGAUUAAGUUUGUUAGUGGGUUUGUUAUUAUUUUUUUUUGUAUUUUUGUGGGGUAUAAUUCACAUGGGUAAGAGUGUAUGAUAAAGUGAGGUAAAAAUGAUAUCGGGGAGGGACAAAAUUAGGUGUCUACAGUUAAAACAUAAAUGAAAUUACAAAAAUUCUAAUCUAUGCAGCUUUACUUGAGUUGAAUUUCAUCACUAUAUUCUUCAGGCGGGCUCCUGACUUGCACUUUCUUCAACUUGUAGCUUGCCUUUCAAUCUCUUCACCCUGUUCUUCAGGUGGGUUCCUCACUUGCUAUUUCAUCAACUUCUUGCUAUGCUUUCCAAUUUCUACACCCUGUUCUCCAGGCGGAUUCCUGACUUUCUAUUUCAUCAACUUGCUGCUAUGCUUUCAAUUUUUUUCACCCUGUUCUGUAGGCGGGCUCCUGACUUGCGAUCUCAUCAACUUGUUUCUAUGCUUUUCAAUUUCUACACCCUGUUCUCUAGGCGGGUUCCUGACUUGCUAAUUUUCAAUCUGUUUAACUUUCAAUUUCUUCACCUUGUUGCUUGGUUUUCCAUUUAUACGCCCUGUGGUUCGGGCAUGCUCCUGAAAUCACAUCAAAAUUGAAAAGAAAAUUAUCCCAAAUAAAGAAAUGCAUUUUCUAUAAGUUAAUUGGAAUGACUCGACUAAAAGGUACGUCUUUUAGGAAUCAAGGGGGAUGACUCGACUAAAAGGUACGUCUAAUAGGAAUAUAGGGGGAUGACUCGACUAAAAGGUACAUAUUAUAGGAAUCUAAGGGAAUGACUCGGCUAAAAGGUACGUCUUCUAGGAAUCAAGGGAAAUGACUCGACUAAAAGGUACAUCUUCUAGGGGUCAAAGGGGAUGAGUCGACUAAAAGGUACGUCUUAUAGGAAUCAAAGGGAAUGACUCAACUAAAAGGGACGUUUUAUAGAAAUCAAUAGGAAUUACUCGACUAAAAGGCACGUCUUAUAGGAAUUAACGGUGAUGACUCAACUAAAAGGUAUGUCUUCUAGGAGUCAAGGUGAAUGACUCGACUAAAAGCUACGUCUAAUAGGAAUCAAAGGGGAUGACUCGACUAAAAGAUACGUCUUUUAGGAAUCAAAGGGGAUGACUUGAAUAAAAGGUAUGUCUUAUAGGAAUCAAAGGGGAUGACUCGACUAAAAGGUACGUCUUAUAGGAAUCAAAGGAGAUAAUUCGACUAAAAGGUAUGUCUUAUAGGAUUCAAAGGGGAUGACUCGACUAAAAGGUACAUCUUAUAGGAAUCAAAGGGGAUGACUUGAAUAAAAGGUAUGUCUUAUAGGAAUCAAAGGGGAUGACUCGACUAAAAGGUACGUCUUAUUGGAAUCAAAGAGGAUGACUCGACUAAGAGGUACGUCUUAUAGGAAUUAAUAGGAAUGACUCGACUAAAAGGUACGUCUUUUAGGAAUCAAGGGGGAUGACUCGACUAAAAGGUACGUCUUCUAGGAAUCAAGACUUCAGUUCAGAAGUGCAUUACCUAAGAAGAAAAUUUUGAAUUACCCAAUCAAGGAAGUGUGUUUCCUUAUCAAUGUUGUUUGAAUUAUCAAAACAAGGAAGUGCGUCUCCUAGAGAUCUUGAAUUAUGAGUUUUACCAUGGUUUUGAUUACCAAAUUUAUGCAGCAACCUUGCCUCUUGCAUUUGUUGAGGUGAGAAAUUACAGCCUUUAAUGUUUAGGCUCUGAAAUCCUUGAUCUGAAUGCAACAUGUAUUCCUAUUACAUACAAAGAAAACUUGUGAGUUUAAAAACAUGGUGGCUAGUUUGUGUCUUUGACUUUUGAGGCAAUUGAUCCUGCCCCCAUUACAUUUAGCUUUUCUUCCAACCAUUAGCAUAUGUCAUUGACUUGUUGUAUCAUUGACUAGAACUCAGCUUAUUAAGAGUGACUCUGAAUCAAACACAGUAUUUCUGCUUUGUCGUGUUUCUAUAAUAAACCCUUUGAAUCUUGGUAUUUCCAUGAGUUCCCCGACUUCUCUGUUGACAAAACUUUCUGCAUGCCUUUUUUGGGCUCAAAAUCAUGUCUCUUUCAUGUGCUAGCUUUUUUCUUGCUUUGUGCAAUUAAAGAAGCUGGUUGCCAGUUUUGAAAUCUUUUCUCACUUGUUUUGACACGGACUUGACUCAAAGACAAGAAACUAAAAAAAAAGAAUGACAAUUUUUGUUUUAAUAACUGACUUAAGAAAGAUAAAAUUAAAAUAAAGAGAAGAAAGAAAAACAAUGAAUGUCCCCUUUUAAAAUCAAAGAAAUAAAAAAUUCAUCUAAAAAUGACAGUCAACACUAAUGAUUAUGCCAUGCAUUUUGGAUUAAUCAGCUUGAUCUUUUCAUCCAAACUUUCUACCCAUUGUUGUUGAGUUAAUGGCCUUGAAACUGAGUUGCUUUCUUAGGUCAAUUGCAUUUAAGACCCCAUUCGGCCAGUGGUGCCUUGAAUGGUUUUCGCCAACAAGCUUCUUUCAUUUUCUCUCGGCUCAUUAUCGCCUUAUGGUGCCCAUGAGGGUUUUCAUCAAUAAGACUCUCUCAUUUUUAUUUCUCUCAACUUGUCAUCGCCUUAUGGUGCCUGUAUGGGUUUUCACCAAUAAGACUCUCUUAUUUUUAUUUCUCUUUUGAUUCCCUAUGCUGAGGAAGACAAAUAGUUUCCAAAUGCAUCAUCAUAUCCCUGGCAUGCUCCGCCUUAACAUCCUCAAAGAUUGAUUUGAAGGUCUUUCUUUGGUUGUAACUUGUCUUUUGGAUAAGGUUAGAAAGAAAGGAUGGCAUGGGUCCCAAACGACACUUGAAGUGGGGUAGGACUAACAACUUUUGGAAUCGACUCAAACAAUAAGGAUUAACUCAUGCCCCAGUUUCUUUUGACUGGGUGACUCUAAAUUGUUUAUUUGGUUGGACUGAGCCCUGAGUAGGGCAGCUACGUAUCUCACCCUUGAGAGAGGAGAAUCAGGUCAUGCGUAGUUUUGGCAGCUUGUCUUUUCCACUUGAUUCUAAGUUUUUUUUUCUUUUGUUGACUCUUUUUCUGGGACUUUUCUGACUUUAUUUUUCUCGAAACUCUUUUUUUUUUUUCUUUUUGACAUACUUUGACAUAUUUUUCUCUUCUUUUUUUUGAAACUUUUCUGACUCUACUGUUUUGCUCGACACCUUUUAUUUUGAGCUUUGUUGACUCUAUAUGACUCCAAAAAAGGGGUAUGAAAUAAAAUAACACUAAGGCCCAAAUGGGGGACAAAGGAUGACACGAUGUUUGGAUAGUAGAAUGAAAGGCCUUCGUCAUAUCAAUCCUUAAAAAUGCAAGUACAUAUCAUGCAAUAUGAAAAUGAAAGAUGAACAUCAUUUGUGGAACUUAAACAACACUAAAGUCAACUGAGCGUGUAUGUCACUUGUUUUUCUACAAUUGUCAAACAUACAACUCCAUUUUCGUUGUACAUUCCUCAUGCUGAGGACUCAUGACUUUGUGGAGCUGAUUUUCUUUCUGUUCCUCUUGAUAUAGGAUCACACAGCCACUAUUUGACCUAAUCGAUACAUAUAUUUCAAUUGAUGACCAAGUUAGUCUUGUAAUCUCAAAAUAAUUGCCUUGAUUUUGAAAGAAGACUUCAACUCGGUUACCAAAUGUCUCAACACUCUAAAUAUUUUCUCAGAUGCUUUUUCUAACUUUAACUCUCUGAUUCCAUGCUCAUGGUUCAACUGGAUUUUAAAAUUUGGCUGAAAAUUCCGCAGGCAUGUCAUAUCACUAGAAUUAACAUAAAGUUACUGUAUAAAGAAAACAAACAAAUAGCACAUAUUUGAAACACAAAAGGAAAGGGAUACUUUAUUUAAUAGAAAUAAAAGAUAAAAGGGUUUGAACAUAAACGACAAAGGGACAAAAUAAGAUAGAUCCCGAACUACAACCCUGAAAUAAUUUGAAAAAUAGAAAAGAAAGCAAAACGAACUACCAGACCUCUUCCUAGUAGGGAGAGGGGUGACUUUUUAAUUGCUCAGCCUGACAUAUUAGCCACUGGUUUGCAUAUCAACAUGACUAGAGCUUUCACCACUGUCAGACACAUUUCCUUCAACAAAUAAGCUCUGGAUCCGCAUGCUUAACUCAUUGCCUCCCACAUAUUGUGCAGUACCGCGUGCUGGUGAAGAACUCUGUGGGAUGGUCGAAGGGCCAAUGUUUUGCACCACAAUCAAUUUAUCUUGAAUUAUCUUUUCUAUUUCUCUUUUCAAAGUGAGACAAUCUUCAGUACUAUGACCCUGAACGUCAGAAUGAUAUGCACAUCGCACAUUAGGAUCAAAGAUUCUUGAAUGUAGGUCUAGAGUAUACCCAAGGAGAGGAGUGAUCAUACCCUGCUGUACCAAUCUCUGGAAUAAACUGGCAUAGGAUUCCCCAAUAGGAGUGAAAUUAUCUUUUUUCUUCCUCCUCUUUGCGAACUCUGGCCUCGGAUGAAAUUUGGAUUUAAAGGUCCCUUGGUAAAUUUGUGGGGGACGAGGACGGUGUUGAGGGAUAGGUGCAUGCCAUUGUGGAUAAGAAGAUGGAUGAGCAUACAAUUAUGCAUUGUUCAUAGGAUAUCGAGGAAGUGGAAUGGGAUUUCUUGGAUUUUGGAGAAAGAAACCUUGUUGCAAGUGGUUAUGUGGAUCUAAUAUGUAAGCUCAGGAUUGAGGCUGACAAUAUUGGUGGGUUGGAACUCUCAAACUCUACUUUGGCCCUGUCAUGAUAAUAGGUGUGUUUUCCUUCUUCUUUCCUUCAGUUUCCCUUGGUUGAUUGCAAUGUCGUCCCGAAUGUUUCACAGAAUCCUUCUGUCCAUCAGGCUCCCCAAAUUUUGAUGUCUCAAAGCUGGGAGGAAGGUUAACACUUGAAGAUAUGCCCCAGCUUUUAUAUGAAACAUCUUCAAAACGCAUAAGUCCAGGGGAAUUUUUCAUAUCAUUUUCUACACUCUUCACUUUCCCAACCAUUUUCUCUGGCUCUUUUGGUAUGCUAGGAUUCUUAGUAAGAAAUUUUGGAGGCUCACUUAACUUAACUGUAGGCUCAAGAGUAUACAAACGAUCAUCAACAGUAUUGAACAUGGAGUCACUAGUCGACUUAAGAAGCACAAUUAUUGGAUUGAUAGAUAAAGUGGAAGCCUUAGUGGAAGGUUGAGUAACAAAAGCACAGACGGUAUGUGGUGCUGUGCAUGUGGUAGACUUAUACUGAGGAGAUAAAGAAAGAGUGGUGGAAGUGUUGAGGUGCAUUUGACGUGGAAUGGAUUCUGAGGCAUGUUGUGGUGCAUCAACAACAGUAGGAAACUGACUUUGCAAUUUUGGUGGAAGACUCAAGGUAUUUCCAGGGUCAAAAGUAGGGAACGGAGGUGGAGGCAUCCCACUGGUCCAAGCUCAGUACAUUCCCAUCAUUUGUUGUCUCAGUCUCAAAUGCUAUUCCUUUAAAAUCCCAAUUUCCUGACUCUUUGUUACAUCCAUGAUGUCACUCUCUAUAUCCUUGUUGGACACAACUAAUCCUUUCUUGGAUUUGGUGUGAUAUGGAGGACCAGCCAGGAAACCACAAACCAACCACCUUAAACUAACUGAACAAGAGGCAACAAAUAUGUUAGAGUUCAACAUUAUUCAAAAACCUUUUUUUUCUUGAAAAAAAAUCACCGAACCCUAGAAGGGCGCCUACGUAUCUCACCCCCGAAAGGGGAGAAUCAGGUGUGCGUAGUUCGUGAAGUCAUGCCAAAACGGUCAAUUGAACUUUUUUUCUUUUUUUUUUCCUCGAAACUUUAAGAAGAAAAGAAAAUAACAAUUUGUCAAAAGAAUUGACGAAAAUGUUUUUGAAUUUUUCAGCUUUAACAUCCCUAUACAAAGUAAAAUCUAUGAUUACCAAAGAAAUCUUUUUGGGUUUUCAGUUUUAAAUUUCAUAUGAAAAUAGAACUUGAACCUAUUAAAGAAAAAUCUUUUUGUAGUUUUCUUUUAAAGAUGUAUAUGAAACACCUACUCUAAAUGAAGAGUGAAGAAAAUCUUUUUGAAUUUUUGAAAUAAGAUCAACCAAAAAUGAAACCUACGACUAUUGAGAAAAAAAAAAUUUCUUUGUAUUUUUCUUUUCAAUACAUGUAUGAAACACCUACUCUAAAUGAAGAGUAAAAAAAAUUUUUUUGAAUUUUUGAAAUAAGAUCAACCAAAAAUGAAACCUACGACUAUUGAGAAAAAAAUUUUUUUUAAUUUUUUUUAAAUAAGAUCCCCGAACCAACAAUAGGCUGUCUACGUAUCUCACAUCCCCAAAGAGGAGAAUCAGGGGUGUGUAGUUCGUCCAAUUUGGACAAUUAAAGAUUCACUGACAGAUUGACCCUAACUUAGAGACACGACCAAAGACAGACGAAUAAAAUCUUUUUGAGGUUUUCAAUUUGAGACUUCACAUAAAACUGACACCAACAACUCCGAAAGAAAAAUCUUUUUGGCAUUUUUUGUCAUAAGAAAUAUACAAAACUUCUACCAACUUUUUUUCAUUUUUCUUUUAUAAAAGCUCCUGUAAAAAAAAUCUUUUUUGGAAUUUUUGAAUUAUGAAUGCAUGGUAAAGGAGUAAAGGAAGAUCUUUUCUUUAAGAAAAUGAGUGCGAAAGGUAAAAAAUAUUUUUGAAUUGUGAAAAAUAAAAGUCAUAAAGAACUCUAAAAAUAAACUACGAAACUCUUUUUUUUUGUUCACCCUUUUUUUUCAACACUUUCUUGUCUACGCACUUUACUUCUAACACAUGUUUUCCCCAAAUCGGUCCGUCAAAUGACCACAUUACCCUCAGAGAUGUCACAUUUAGCGCGUAGGGAUGCUUUAGAGGUAAGUUUCCUUCAAAGGACCGUGUGGGUCCCUCUAGGUCUCAAUAUGAUGCACAUAAGAAUAACCUAAAGACUGACCUACGUUAUGGUUUACUAACAAGGCUGUUCGGGGAAGCAUAUGGUAGAUAGUGGCUACUUUGCUUUCCACCUACUCCAUACAUCCAAUGGCUCCCCCCUAAAAUAAAGGUGACUCAGCUAGAGUUCGUGCACACGACGUGCGCUCCGAGACUUGUUGCGAAAAGAAUGACUGAAGUUAUGCACAUGAUGUCAGAUAUAAAAGCGGUAACACAUAGGAUAAAUACUGUAAACAAAGAGCACGAAAACACACAAAAGUGAAAACACAAACAAAAAUCACAAACAAUGCUUAUACACUCGUAAUGCCAAACAAAGCGGAUACUCGGAUUCUGAAAUAGUUCCCCAGCAGAGUCACCAAAGCUGUCACACCCCUUUUUCGUACUCCAAAAGAUUAUGGAUUAAGUUUUGAAAGGAUUUUUAUUAUUAAAGUGACAAAAGAUGAAAAUUAGUUUCGAAAAGGACUUUUUAUAUUCAAAACUCAGAGUCGCCACUCGGCAUAAUCUGGUGUACCAAGUCACUUUUGGAAAUCCUUUUCAAAAUGGUUUUUGACUCUUCUAAACUGAUCCGCGAAAAGAAAUUCCGGCUAAGGAAUUUUGUUGACCGAGGGAAAGGUGUUAGGCAUCCCUCGAUCCCGUGGUUCGACCACGGUCGCUUGGUGGAGCGUAUCGAGUAAUUGACAUUACAAAUGUAUAAACCACACAAAAACACAUAAAACAAUCAAUCAAACACACAAAACAAAACAAAUCAAAAAUUUAGUGUUCAGUCCAAUUAUACAGCCCAAAAUAAAUAAAAAUGCAAAAAUAAAUUCUAUCUAACCUACACUAAUCCUAACUACGCUCUCGUGCUUUACCCGAUGCCUCGGGCCUUGAUCACGAACCUUCUUUGCUUACAUGAUCCGUCGGGGCAUUUCCCGAUGAAUAAACACAAUGUGUCUCGGGGCAUUCCCCAACUAAAUGAAUACAUUUGAAUUAAAUACGAUAAACUAGAAAGAAACAUUCACACGCACAUUCCACAUUCAACGAAACACCCAAGUUCUAAAUUUGCUUACCCAACCUACGUUUGCCUAUCAAUUGUCGGCCUAAACAUGAAACUAUCACAAUUAACAAUAUUGAUGAAUCAAAACAACAAUAUUCACUUUAUCAACUUUUAAUCUCAAUCCCACCCCAAAUUCAUUUACAACCACACGAUUAACUGAUUUCAAUAGAGAACCAACUGAUCAAGUCACGAUAAUUAUAAAAGCUCAAACACAUAAUCUGAAUCAUAUCAUCAAACUCGUACAAUUCACGUAAUUAACAUCAACACACCACGUUAAAAUAAAAAUAAAAUAAGAACAGAGUUGAAGAAAUGGACCUCAAAUGAUGUUUUGCAAUUAUAAUGAUAUCAGCAUCAACAAUAGAUGAAAGGAGCGACUUCGAACACGAAACCUCGAAUAAAAACCAAAUUCGUUUAUUGAAAUCCAACGUCAAGAGAUUCGAAUUCUGAUUGAAAAUAAAGAAUGAAUGAAGCCAAAACCCGAACUCUCAAACGAUAAAAACCUCAGCAACGUCUAAACCAACUCAAAAUUGAGCAACCAUAACCCAAACGGAUCAGAAUUCCAAACCAAUAAGAAACAGUAGAAUAUCCAGAACAAGAAUUUCAAUGGAAACCUAAAACCGAACGUGAAACUCUAGAAAUCCAAACCAAACAAGAAAUCAUUGAGAACAGGGAAUCAACGAAACCCAAAUCAAAAAUGAUUUGCCCCUUUUUAGGACUAGCCGAAUUCGGUUGUGGUUUUCACCAGAAUUAAUGGAGGAAGCAGUUGUUUUCCAAUGGGUCAUUUUUGGAGAGAGACGGUGGAUUCCGAUGAACCGUUCGCCGGAAAACUUGAACCAGUCAGCUAAGGUAUCUCUGUUCUGUGUUUUCAUACUUCUCACUCGAUUUCAACUCACUCCCUCUCUUUGUUGCGUCUUUCUCUCCGCUCCUCACCAUUUUCAAUCUCUGAUCACCCUCGAUCUCUGUCCCUCAUGUCAUUCUACUGCCAGCUACCUCUCUAUUUCUCUUCUCUACCUCACGAUCUCCCUUUCAAUCUCUUUACUGUGUGUAUUUUCGGUAGCUGUAAGUGAAUCCAUAUAUUCUAAGGGAAGAGAAAGAAGGGAUGAAUAUGGUGAAUCCCCCUUCUUUGAUCUGUAUAUGUGUGUAUAUAUCCCUGAAGAAGAAAAGAAGAGCCCCCUCUUUUUCUUUUUAAUUCAAGACCCUAAAAAAAUAAAAAUCCCCCCACUUUCUUUCUGGAUGUAAUUGUGUAUGUAUACGUGAGGUUGAGUGAAUUUGUUUUGCUGCAGGGCCCAUGUAUGUGAGGUGUCCUGAGGGAAAUUUCCUAGAAAAUUCCUUCUAGUUAUAUCUCUUUGUGGACAAGAAAAGGAGAGGGGGAGGUGUUGUUUUUUAAUUGGAGGGGUAAGGGUUAGGUGUCUUAUUUUAAUUGAAAGGGUUGUUAGGAUGUUAAAAAGAAUAAAAGUUUGUUAGGGAUUUUGUUGACAGUUGAUUUUUUUGUAUUUUUUGUGGGAUGUAAUUAAAUGGGUGAGGGUAUACGAUAGAACAAGGUAAAAAUGGGUAAAAAGUCAAUUUUGGGAGGACAAAAUUAGGUGUCUACAUUCAUAAAGUUCUAUCUCCUCUUUACGGACAUUUGUGUGUGUUCUGCCUACUAAACUUAGGUAAGCAAAGAGAAACUAUAAAAAGAAAGUUUGAACCAACGCCAUUUUACAUAAAUCUUCCAUGCAAAAAUUUGCACCCAAAAGAUAAGGUCACAACAAUCUAAUAAAUAUGUCUAAAGCAAGAAUCUACACACACACAUAAAUUCUUUUUAAAAAAAUGAACAAGAAGAAAGCAAAUGCUAUGGAUUUUGUGGCGAAAAAAAUUUGGACCGUUUCUCGAUUUUUGAGUGUCAUCCUUGAGAGGGGCCAUUCUAAUCUUCUCUGUAUUGUUCCAAAUUUAACGGAUGUCCCCAAAGGGAGAAACAUGCUCAUUACUGUUGUGCAUUAUAAACAAACAAAACUUCUUUCUGCAAACGAUGUGGGAGAAGUAACAGGUUGGGCUUUCUACCUAUAUGAACCUGGACUCCUUUUUCCUUGUUUCUUCGUCCCAUCUAAACAAGCCCUGCUGCGCCUGGAGUUAUAAAUUUGACAUACGAGACUAAAAUUGUAAAGAUUUGACUAACUUUUGAUGUUAUUUUGCCCGAAGCUUGGCCUUAUUAAGGCCAAACAUUAGACAUUUUAUACUGUGGAAUAGCCAUGACCAAGCCUGAAAUAUUUUUUUCGAACUUUAACUUUGGAUCGGCAGACUCUAACUUGAGACAUAUAAUAGCUGGUCAAGAAUCAAAUCAAUACGCAUAACCAAAUAUACAAGUGUUGGCGCUAGAUUAUACAGGUUCAGCUAAACUAAUAAGCUUUGGUCCAAAUUUUAUACUGUAUUUGUCUUAAAAAUUCAUUGAUAUACACAAAUUUUUAUUGAAAACCCAAUUACUUUGAGAAAAUUAGAAUCGUGAAUCCAUAAACUUUUAGUCCUCUUAUGUAGCCAUUAUACAUAGAUUGUUCAGUGCAAUUUGAGGAAUCCAAAGCAUAUGCACGAUAACUUGCUUGUGCUCUGCCUAAACUUAGGUAAGCAAACAAAAAUUAUAAGCAGAAAGUUUGACCCAAUGGCAUUUAACGUAAAGCUUCCAAGAUAAAAAUAUCCACCUCCGAAGAGGAAAUUUCACAACAAUCUAAGCUGAUUCCAGGAAAAAAAUAAAAGGAUUUUGCGAGGAAAAAAAUUUGGACCAUUUCUCAAUUUGUGCGUGUCAUCCCUGCGCAGGGGCCAUGCUAAUCUUCUCUGCAUCGUUCCAUUUUUAUCGGAUGUCCCCGAAGGGGCAAGCGUGCCUGCAGCUAUUGAGCUUUAUAAAGAGAGCAAAACUUCUUUCUGCAAACGAUGUGGCAGAAAUAAUAGUUUGGGAUUUUCGCAGGCGCAAACCUGGACUCCUUUUUUUGCUUGUUUCUUCGUCCCAUCUAAACAAGCCCGUCUGUGCCUAGAGUUUAGCGCAUCCACAAUUUUAAUAUGGGCCCCAACAUUGUAAACAAGAAUUGACAUGAGUCCUAUUCUUAUACCACGUAUAGAAAUAAACUUUAGCCUAACUCAAACCCGAAAGCUAUAUCAAGAAGUGAGAAUUCUCAAGUCAUAAUAAAAGAGACUACUUAUUCCUUAACGAGCUAUAUGAGAUGUUUCACAAACUUGUACCCAUUGAGGUCGUUUCAUUAAAGGGAUAUGAAAGACGAAUAUUCCGUGGGACUAACUAUUUCACCCUUUUAAGAAGUUACAAAAUGAUCCCAAAAUUAUUUAUCCCGAAAUAUUGUCCUUAUAGUAGCCCAUUCUUCUUGGUCUUUCUCCAUAGUCCACAUAAAAGGAGCUUUUAAGAAGUUACCUACUAGCAGUCACUAAUUUUGAAAGGCUGAACAAGAAAUUGAUUGAUAUGCCUGUCUAGUAGCACGAAGAUGGGGUUGAGGGUAAAGUAUUUAUUCAAUCUGAUAAGUCAUAAUAAAAGCAAUUUAUAAUACUAUUGAUGUCCACUGCUCAUUUCUGGUUUUCUCAAUUUGUCAUGCCUCUUAUCUCUAAUUUCUCAGUCUAUCCGGGCGAAGCCCGUGAUAGAAGGUCCAGGUAUGAAUGCUACUAUGAGUUAAUUUAGACGAAUUAAGAUGAGUUAAGCUAUAAACGAACAGGUUUAAUUUUGGCUGAAAUAACCUAUUCAACUCACUUGGCCUUGUCCAUUUUACAUUGGUUGUUCAAUGCAAAUUGAGUAGUUCUUGCAUAUGCACAAUAACUUGUUUAAUGUAUUCAUCUCCUCUUUCCCAUUUGUGUGUGUUCUGCCUAAACUUACUUAAGCAAGAAAAAAUGUAAAGAGAAAGUUAAUAAUAUUUGACCUAAUGCCACUUGACAUGAAUCUUCCAAGACAAAUUUGCACACUAAAAACAUAAGGUCUAUACAAUUUGUGUAAUGCACUAGAGGAGAAGAAAUUUCACUACAAUCUAAUCAAUAUGUGUAAAGCCAGAAGCUUUUUAACAUACAUAGAAAAUGAGUGGAAAAGAAAAACACAACCACACGAAGAAAUUGGGAAAAGUUAGGAAAAAAAUUUGGACCAUUUCUCGAUUUGUGCGUGUCAUCCUUGCGCAAGGGCUAUGCUAAUCUUCUCGCAUGCCUGCUGUUGUUGUACUUUAUAAAGAGAGAAAAACUUCUUUCUGUAAAUGAUGUGGGAGAAAUAACAAGUUAGGCUUGUUUCCUUGUCCCAUCUGAAUAAGCCCAGCUAUGCCCAGAACGGGCUCUCUCGUUUGUUUCAAGCAUUUUUAGCUAACAUUUUUUUUGUGUAAACAACAUAAAUCCCCUAACUUGGAUGGUGGUUUGCCAUGGUUGCAUAAUAUACGGUACCAUACGGUAUGGUAUUGUACUGUACAGUAUAAUACAAUAACAUGUUUGGAUAUACUGUAUCGUUCAUUGCUGGUUAAUAAUAAUUUUAUUGUUUGGUUUGACAGUAUGGUACUGCAUCAUAACUGAUAAGUUUACUAAAAUAUCUUUAAUGAUUAUAAAUAUUAAAUUUAUCAGUAAUUAUUAGUAAAAUAAUUUUCUUCCUACUAAUUUGUCAUAAAUUAUGUCAUGUAGAUAUAUUAAGUUGUUAGAUUCAUGUAAAUUCAAACAAAGUCAAUAAAGAAGAAGAUCAAAAUAACUAUAAUCAGAUACAUUUUUUAUAGUAACAAAUUUUAUCUCUUUUUGGUGUUUUGAGAUGUGAUACCAAUGACAAAUAUAAAGUUUGAAUGCAUCUCUUGUGUAUGCUAUGUGUAUGUUCGGUGUUGAAUUUUAAAAAAUAUAUUCGUAAGGCUUGGUCUAAAUUUUUUACACGUAUUCGCUUUCGUAAAAUUGGUCAGUUCUCCUUAAUUCAAUUUUCGGAAGAAUGAGAUCUUUUGCUUUCUUACAAAAUGAAUAGAAAAAAAUAGCUUAUUCAAAUUAAACAUCGUUUAAUAGCUGAAUUUUUCCAAUUUCAAUAGAUCUUUUAUUGGGAAAAUAGAGUCGAUUGAUGUGAUAGUUGUUACGUAUCAUUUCAUAAGUUAUUAUGUUUUAUUGUAUUGUAGUGUGCAUUGUUUUAAUGAGUAUAACAUUUGAAUAUUGUACUAUCAUUUUUCGGUUGUUACAUAAUGUUACAUAUUAAUUAAUAAUUUAAAAGAUAAACCUACAUAAUUACGCAUGCAUAAUUUUAUAUCGAAGGGGAUUCAAUGCCCCCUCGCCCAGCUUUACCGAGGUCCGAUCUGAUUACUUUUGUGGACCAAAACAAGUGAAAGUUCAUUUUGAUAUUGGAAGACCUUGAAUACAAGAUAUUUCUUUGCUCUGAUAUUUAUACUAGCUUUAUAGAUUGUUGGGUGUGCGAACAAAAGUCUCAUGAUAGUAGCUGAAAGGAUUAGAAGCUACAUAUAUCGAGGAGGGUCUUUUAAUGGUGCGAGAUCUUUUGAGGAAAACCGUACGGGAUUGACCCACAACUGAUAAUAUCAAAGCAUUUAAAAGUGUCUUUGGGUUGAUUUAGCCAACAUAGAUGAUACACUCUUAUCGUCAGAGUUUAAUCAUUCCAUCCUCUGUUCUACAUAAAAUUAUACAUAGAUUUCCUCAUAAUUUAUGCAUGUAUUAGUCAUACGAGUCUCUAAAUUGCAAAUCGAAUGUUGCAUUAGUUUUAUACAUAAUCCUAACUAACUACCAAACAUGGUAUUAUGUAUUACUUAUGCAACAUCUUAUUAUACACAUAGAGUAUUAUUUUUCUUAACCAACUACAUACCAAAUGACCUUUAAUUUGUACUACUAUAUACUAAUGUUGAGUACUACUUUCAAACUCAAUUUUACUAUUCUGAUUCUUUUUUUCUUUUUGGAAUAAAUUCAAUAAAUAAUCACAAUAAUGCUCACUUUUGAAACUUCUAUUUAUAGGUCGUGUAAAGCUGCGUCGUGAUGUGAGGAAAUGCGAACACGACGAUGUUCAUAUUUUUUGGGAUAUUCUCAAAAAAAAAUGAAUCAGUCGAUGCUGCCAAAUCUCAUUCUGGACGCAAGAAAGUUCGAUUUUGGGAUAUAAUUGAUUGGGCUAAACGUGCCCCCUUCAUUUGUCGUAGCGUGUGAUCAUAAAUUUUUAUUGUAUUUUUUUUGGUUUGCAUAUCUAAAAUAUAUAUAUAUAUAUAUAUNNNNNNNNNNNNNNNNNNNNNNNNNNNNNNNNNNNNNNNNNNNNNNNNNNNNNNNNNNNNNNNNNNNNNNNNNNNNNNNNNNNNNNNNNNNNNNNNNNNNNNNNNNNNNNNNNNNNNNNNNNNNNNNNNNNNNNNNNNNNNNNNNNNNNNNNNNNNNNNNNNNNNNNNNNNNNNNNNNNNNNNNNNNNNNNNNNNNNNNNNNNNNNNNNNNNNNNNNNNNNNNNNNNNNNNNNNNNNNNNNNNNNNNNNNNNNNNNNNNNUUUCAGUAUUUCUUGGUGUGAAAUAAGUUAGUUUUCGGUAUAUACGACUUUGUGACCUUCUGAAUUUGUAGCCAGUCGCGGAGCCAGGAUUUUCACGAAGAGGGUUUAGAAAUAACUUACGAACAAAUCAAAAGGGGUUCAACAUCCACUAUAAUAAUUUUAACCGAAUAGUAUAAUUUUUCACCAAAGGAGGUUCGGUGACCCCUCGCCGAAUGGUAGCUCGGCCCCUGCUUGUAGGCUGUAGCAUUUGCAAAAUAUAACCAUACAAGGGGUGGAGUUAGAGUAUAACAUAUGGGUUCGACUGAACUAAUACGCUUUGGUUCAUUGAUAUACACAAAAGUUUAAUUUAAAAUCCAAUUAUUUAAAAAUAAAAAUUAAAAUCUUGAAUUCAUAAAGUUCUAUCUCCUCUUUACGGCCAUUUGUGUAUGUUCUGCCUACUAAACUUAGGUAAGCAAAGAGAAACUAUAAACAGAAAGUUUGAACCAACGCCAUUUUACAUAAAUCUUCCAUGCAAAAAUUUGCACCCAAAAGAUAAGGUCACAACAAUCUAAUAAAUAUGUCUAAAGCAAGAAGCUACACACACAUUAAAUUCUUUGAAAAAAAAUGAACAAGAAGAAAGCAAAUGCUAUGGAUUUUGUGGCGAAAAAAAUUUGGACCAUUUCUCGAUUUGUGCGUGUCAUCCUUGCGCAGGGGCCAUGCUAAUCUUCCCUGUAUCGUUCCAAUUUUAACGGAUGUCCCCAAAGGGAGAAACAUGCUCAUUACUGUUGUGCAUUAUAAACAAGCAAAACUUCUUUCUGCAAACGAUGUGGGAGAAGUAACAGGUUGGGCUUUCUACCUAUAUGGACCUGGACUCCUUUUUCCUUGUUUCUUCGUCCCAUCUAAACAAGUCUUGCUGUGCCUGGAGUUAUAAAUUUGACAUACGAGACUAAAAUUGUAAAGAUUUGACUAACUUUUGACGUUGUUUUGCCCGAAGCAUGGCCUUAUUAAGGCCAAACAUUAGACAUUUUAUACUAUGGCAUUGCCAUGUGUAGACACGUAAUUUUGUCCUUUCCCGAUAGCAUUUUUUACUCAUUUUUACCUUAUCCUACCGUAUACCCUCACCUAUGUAAUUACAUCCCACAAAAAUAUAAAAAAAAAAUAUAACUUUCAACAAAAUCCCUAACAAACUUUUAUUCUUUUUAACAUCCUAACAACCCUUUCAAUGAAAAGAAGACACAUCACCCAUACCCAUACUCCACCAUCCCAUAUCCACAUGACCCCCCCUCUUCUUUUCUUGGCCAUAAAGGAAAAUAUACAUGGAGGAAACUUCCAAGAAACAACAACAAGAACUAGGAGGGACCACAAUUGGGAAUCCAAGGUAAAGAACGGAUAUAUACAUAUGCAUAUAUCACAAAUGGGACACUCUUCAUUUUUUCCAUUCCAUCAUCAUCAAUAUAUAAAUGCACACACUCCAUUUUGGGGGAUAUAUACACACUUAUACAUAGAACUUCGAAAAAAAAAAAAGAAUUCUUCCAUUUCCAUUCCAUAGAUAUACUUAUCCACAAAACAACCAACACACAAUACACCAUUAACCUCACCAUUAAUAGACAGCUUCCUCACCAUUCCAACAGCUCACAUACUCCUUGAUGGCUCCAUUUUCCCAUUCUUUUACUCUUACCAGAACACACACCCACAGCUACCAUAUACACAAUUACAUACUUCACUUAAGACUCACACUCACAGCACAUGAAAAAAAAAAAAAAGAAUUCACCUUCUUCUCCAACAUCUACUCACAGACACCCUCACUAAUAUUUUUCAUUCACCAUACUUCACCCAUAUACGAUCCCUCAUCCUCACCAUAGUAGAUCUUACUCACGAGAAACCAACAUUAACGCACACACUACACAAAUACAGACCACAAAGAAUAACAACACAGUGAGAUGGCGAGAAGAGAGUAGAUCAAGAGAGGGCGGCGAAGAGAGAGAGUAGAGUACAGUAAGGGUAAAUUGAGAGGAUGAAGAGAGUUUGAACAAGGUUUGGCCAGUUUCUGGAUAUUCUUUGGCAAAAUCUCACUGGAAGUGACCCGUGUUCAUCGUUGCUUGGUCUAAGCUCGCCGGAUUUGGCCUCGAUCUCACCGAAACUGGUUUCUCUUUCAUCGUCUAAUCAUUCUCAUCACGAAAUCGCCAAAAACUCUUUGUUUUCCUCUGAUUUUUUGGGGUGAAUUCGGUCGAGAUAUGUUAGGGGGUCACCGGAAUUGGUUUUCGUUUGUCAAUCGGAUCGGUUUAAGCACCCCAAAAACAUCGAAACUAGCAUUAGUUCUAGGUAUUUCUAUAUGGGUUGGCUCCUUUGGAAUUUUGUAUGGGUACCUCUCAUUUCUUUACAAGACUGACCCCGUUUGGUUCGAUAUUUCUUCUUCAUUUCUGUUCGAAAAUUGGGUUUUCAAACAAACUACAAGAUCGAAGUGGAUAUCGAGUUGGGGGUUGUCGUUUGAGGUUCAAUCGGGACAUUUCGAAUCCGGCUCCAUUUUCUAAUCACAUAAUUCGGCAUAUAAAAGUCCAUUUAGGGUCUAACUCUAUCUCUUCUAAUUUUACUUUACUAUACGUGUUUGAUUUGCCUGAUGUGUGGUUGAAUUUUGGUGAUAUUAAUUUGGUGUUUGAUUUCGUUGAAUAGAUGGUUGUGGAUUGUUGAGAUAACUGUCUUGAAUCGUUGGAAUUUGGUAUAAAAAUGGAAUAAGAGGGGCGAGAAUUAAAAACUUGAUAUAAUUAGUGAAUUGUGAUUAUUUUGAUUCAUGAGUUGUUUGACUUGAAAUAAACGUUAAUUGAAUGUGGUAGUAUCAAGAUACGCCGAUUGGAAUAGGCAAGUCGUAGUUCGGGUAGGCAAAAUCUAGAGAUUGUGGGUUUAUUGAAUGUUUGAAAUUUGAUUGAAUGGUUUGAUUUUAUCACUUUUGAAUCAAUUGUAUAAUUUGGCCGGGGAAUGCCCCAAAGUAUCUGUAUAUAUUUAUUCACCGUGGAAUGCCCUGACGUAUCAUGUACCCGGAGGACGUUCAUGAUGAAGGCUCGAGGCGUCGGGUAGAGCAUUAGUCUAGAAUUAAUUUAGAGUAGGAUUUAUUUUUACACAUUUUUUAUUUUUGGACUGUAUAAUUGGACUGAACACUAAAUUUUGGAUUGUUUUAUCUUGUUUGCUGGAUUGAUUGUUUUGCAUGUUUUGUGUGGUUUAUAUAUUCAUAAUGUCAAAUUAGCCUAUAUGCUCCGCCAACGACCGUGGUCAAACCACGGGAUCGAGGGGUGCCUAACACCUUCCCCUCGGUCAACAGAAUUCCUUAGCCAGAAUCUCUGUUCGCAAACCAGUUUUAAAGAGUCAAACCAUUUCGAAAAGAAUUUUCCAAAGGUGACUUGGCACACCGGAUUAUACCAAGUGGCGAAUCUGAAUUUAAUUAUAAAAAAUACUUUUCGGAACAGAAUUUUCAUUUUUUGUCACUUAAUAAUAAAACCCUUUCGAACUUAAAAAUUAAUCUUUUGGAUGUUGAAAAAGGGGUGUGACAGCUCUGGCGACUCUCCUGGGGAUCUAUUUUAGAAUUUGAGUAUCGGCUUUGUUUUGCAUUACGAGUGUAUAAGCAUUGUUUCUGAUUUUUCUUUGUGUUUUCACUUUUGUGCAUUUUCGUGCUCUUUGUUUACAGUAUUUAUCCUAUGUGUUGCCGCUUUUAUAUCUGACAUCAUGUGCAUAACCGGAGUCAUUCUUUCCGCAACAAGUCUCGGAUCGCACGUCGUGUGUACGAACUCUAGCUGAGUCACCUUUAUUUUAGGAGGGAGCCAUUGGAUGUAUGGAGUAGGUGGAAAGCAAAGCAGCCACUAUCGACCAUAUGCUUCCCCGAAUGGCCUUGUUAGUAAACCACAACGGAUGUCAGUCUUUAGGUCAUUUUUAUGUGCAUCAUAUUGAGACCUAGAGGGACCCACACGGUCCUUUGAAGGAAACUCACCUCUAAAGAAUCCCUACGUGCUAAAUGUGACAUCUCUGAGGGUAAUGUGGUCAUUUGACGGACCGAUUUGGGAAAAACAUGUGUUAGAAGUAAAGUGCAUAGAUAAGAAAGUGUUAAAAAAAAGGGUGAAUAAAAAAAAAGAGUUUCGUAGUUUAUUUUUAGAGUUCUUUAUGGCUUUUGUUUUUCACAAUUCAAAAAGAUUUUUUACCUUUCGCACUCAUUUUCUUAAAGACAUCAAAAAAAUCUUCCUUUACUCUUUUACCAUGCAUUCAUAAUUCAAAACUUCCAAAAAAGAUUUUUUUUACAGGAGCUUUUAUAAAAGAAAAAUGAAAAAAAGUUGGUAGAAGCUUUGUAUAUUUCUUAUAACAAAAAUGCCAAAAAGAUUUUUCUUUCAGAGUUGUUGGUGUCAGUUUUAUGUGAAGUCUCAAAUUGAAAACCUCAAAAAGAUUUUAUUCGUUUGUCUUUGGUCAUGUCUCUUAAGUUAGGGUCAAUCUGUCAGUGAAUCCUUAAUUGUCCAAAUUGGACGAACUACGCACCCCUGAUUCUCCUUUUUCGGGAUGUGAGAUACAUAGGCAGCCUAUUGUUGGUUCGGGGAUCUUAUUUAAAAAAGAUUUUUUUUCACUCUUCAUUUAGAGUAGGUGUUUCAUACAUGUAUUGAAAAGAAAAAUACAAAGAAAAAAAAAGAUUUUUCUCAAUAGUCGUAGGUUUCAUUUUUGGUUGAUCUUAUUUCAAAAAUUCAAAAANNNNNNNNNNNNNNNNNNNNNNNNNNNNNNNNNNNNNNNNNNNNNNNNNNNNNNNNNNNNNNNNNNNNNNNNNNNNNNNNNNNNNNNNNNNNUUUGUAUAGGGAUGUUAAAGCUGAAAAAUUCAAAAAUAUUUUCGUCAAUUCUUUUGACAAAUUGUUAUUUUCUUUUCUUCUUAAAGUUUUGAGGAAUAAAAAAAUAGAAAAAGAGUUCAAUUGGCCAUUUUGGCAUGACUUCACGAACUACGCACACCUGAUUCUCCCCUUUCGGGGGUGAGAUACGUAGGCUCCCUUCUAGGGUUUGGUGAUUUUUUUUCAAGAAAAAAAAAGGGUUUUGAAAAAUGUUGAACUCUAAUAUAUUUGUUGCCUCUUGUUCAGUUAGUUUAAGGUGGUUGGUUUGUGGCUUCCUGGCUGGUCCUCCAUAUCACACCAAAUCCAAGGAAGUGUUAGUUGUGUCCAACAAAGAUAUAGAGAGUGGCAUCAUAGAUGAAACAAAGAGUCAGGAAAUUGAGAGUUUAAAGGAAGAGAAUUUGAGACUGAGACAACAAAUGAUGGGAAUGUACCGAGCUUGGGCCAGUCGGCUGCCUCCACCUCCGUUCCCCACUUUUGACCCUACAAAUACCUUGAGUCUUCUACCAAAAUCGCAAAGUCAGUUUCCUACUAUUGUUGAUGCACCACAGCAUGCCUCAGAAUCCAUUCCACAUCAAAUAUACCUCAACACUUCCACUAUUCUUUCUUUAUCUCCUCAGUAUACCACAUUCACAGCACCACAUACCAUCUGUUCUUUUGUUGCUCAACCUUCUACUAUGGCUUCCAUUUUGUCUAUCAAUCCAACGAUUGUGCUUCUCCAAUCCACUAGUGACUCCACGUUCAAUACUAUUGAUGAUCAUUGGUAUACUCUUGAGCCUACAGUUAAGUUAAGUGAACUGCUAAAAUUUCUUACUAAGAAGCCUAGCAUGCCAAAAGAGCCAGAGAAAAUGGUUGGGAAAGUGAAGAGUGUAGAAAAUGAUAUGAAAAAUUCCCCUAGACUUAUGGUCUAUGAAGAUGUUUUAUAGAAAAGCUGGGGCAUGUCUUCAAGUGUUAACCUUCCUCCCAGCUUUGAGACAUCAAAAUUUGGGGAGCCUGAUAGACAGAAGGAUUCUGUGAAACAUUCGGGACGAAAUUGCUAUCAACCAAGGGAAACUGAAGGAAAGAAGAAGGAAAAUGCACCUAUUGUCAUGACAGGGCCAAAGCGGAGUUUGAGAGGAACAGAAAGAAACUCAGCUCCAAAAGUUAUUUGUCCUACCCCACUUCAAGUGUCGUUUGGGCCCUAUGCCAUCCUUUUUUUCUAACCUUAUACAAAAGCCAAGUUACAACCAAAGAAAUACCUUCAGAUCAAUCUUUAAGGAUGUUAAGGCGGAGCAUACAAGGGAUAUGAUGAUGCAUUUGGGAAUUAUUUGUCUUCCUUAGAAUAGGGAAUCAAGAGAGAAACAAAAAUGAGAGAGUCUUAUUGGUGAAAACCCUUACGGGCACCAUAAGGCGAUGGAAAGUUGAGAGAAAUAAAAAUGAGAGAGUCUUAUAGGUGAAAACCCUCAUGGGCACCAUAAGGCGAUAGUGAGCUGAGAGAAAAUAAAAGAAGCUUGUUGGCGAAAACCCUUCAAGGCACCACUAGCCGAAUGGGGUCUUAAAUGCAAUUGACCUAAGAAAGCAACUCAGUUUCAAGGCCAUUAACUCAACAACAAUGGGUAGAAAGUUUGGAUGAAAAGAUCAAGCUGCUUAAUCCAAAAUGCAUGGCAUAAUUAUUAGUGUUGACUGUCAUUUUUAGAUGAAUUUUUCGUUUCUUUUUUUUAAAAGGGGACAUUCAUUGUUUUUCUUUCUUCUCUUUAUUUCAAUUUUAUCUUUCUUAAGUCAGUUAUUAAAACAAAAAUUGUCAUUCUUUUUUUUUUGUUUCUUGUCUUUGAGUCAAGUCCGUGUCAAAACAAGUGAGAAAAGAUUUCAAAACUGGCAACCAGCUUCUUUAAUUGCACAAAGCAAGAAAAAAGCUAGCACAUGAAAGAGACAUAAUUGUGAUCCCAAAAAAGGCAUGCAGGAAGUUUUGUCAACAGAGAAGUCCGGGAACUCAUGGAAAUACAAAGAUUCAAAGGGUUUAUUUGAGAAACGCGACAAAGCAGAAAUACUGUGUUUGUUUCAGAGUCACUCUUAAUAAGCUAAGUUUGAGUCAAUGAUACAGCAAGUCAAUGACAUAUGCUAAUGGUUGGAAACAAAGCUAAAUGUGACGGGGGCAGGAGCAAUUUCCUCAAAAGCCAAUGCCACAAACUAGCCACCAUGUUUUAAACUCACAAGUUUUCUUUGUAUGUAAUUAGGAAUACAUGUUGCAUUCAGAUCAAGGAUUUCAGAGCCUAAACAUCAAAGGCCGUAAUUUCUCACCUCAACAAAUGCAAGAGGAAAGGUUGCUGCACAAGUUUGAUAAUCAAAACCAUGGUAUAACUCAUAAUUCAAGAUCUCUAAGAGAUGUACUUCCUUGUUUUGAUAAUUCAAACAACAUUGAUAAGGAAACACACUUCCUUGUUUGGGUAUAAAAAUGGAAUAAGUGGGGCGACAAUUGAAAACUUGAUAUAAUUAGUGAAUUUUGAUUAGUUUGAUUAAUUAGUUGUUUGACUUGAAAUAAACGUUAAUUGAAUUUGGUAGUAUCAAGAUACGUCGAUUGGAAUAGGCAAGACGUAGGUCGGGUAGGCAAAAUCUAGAGAUUGUGGGUUGAUUGAAUGUUUGAAAUUUGAUUGAAUGGUUUGAUUUUAUCACUUUUGAAUCAAUUGUAUAAUUUGGAAGGGGAAUGCCCCGAAGUAUCCGUAUAUAUUUAUUCAUCGGAGAAUGCCUCGAGGUAUCAUGUACCCAGAGGACGUUCGUGAUGAAGGCCCAAGGCGUCGGGUAGAGCAUUAGUCUAGAAUUAAUUUAGAGUAGGAUUUAUUUUUACACAUUUUUAUUUUUGGACUGUAUAAUUGGACUGAACACUAAAUUUUGGAUUGUUUUAUCUUGUUUGCUUGAUUGAUUGUUUUGCAUGUUUUGUGUGGUUUAAAUAUUCAUAAUGUCAAAUUAGCCUAUACGCUCCGCCAAGCGACCGUGGUCAAACCACGGGAUCAAGGGGUGCCUAACACCUUCCCCUUAGUCAACAGAAUUCCUUAGCCGGAAUCUCUGUUCGCAAACCAGUUUUAAAGAGUCAAAUCAUUUCGAAAAGAAUUUUUCAAAGGGACUUGGCACACCGGAUUAUGCCAAGUGGAGACUCUGAAUUUAAUUAUAAAAAAUUCUUUUCGAAACAGAAUUUUCAUUUUUUUGUCACUUGAUAAUCCCUUUCGAACUUAAAAAUUAAUCUUUUGGAUGUUGAAAAAGGGGUGUGACACUAUGACCAAGCCUGAAAUAUUUUUUUCGAACUUUAACUUGGAUCGGCAGACUCUAACUUGAGACAUAUAAUAGCUGGUCAAGAAUCAAAUCAAUACGCAUAACCAUAUAUACAAGUGUUGGCGCUAGAUUAUACAGGUUCAGCCAAAUUAAUAAGCUUUGGUCCAAAUUUUAUACUGUAUUUGUCUUAAAAAUUCAUUGAUAUACACAAAUUUUUAUUGAAAACCCAAUUACUUUGAGAAAAUUAGAAUCGUGAAUCCAUAAACUUUCAAUUCUCUUAUGUAGCCAUUAUACAUAGAUUGUUCAGUGCAAUUUGAGGAGUCCAAAGCAUAUGCACGAUAACUUGCUUGUGCUCUGCCUAAACUUAGGUAAGCAAACAAAAAUUAUAAGCAGAAAGUUUGACCCAAUGGCAUUUAACGUAAAGCUUCCAAGACAAAAAUAUCCACUUCAGAAGCGGAAAUUUCACAACAAUCUAAGCUGAUUCCAGGAAAAAAAUAAAAGGAUUUUGGGAGGAAAAAAAUUUGGACCGUUUCUCGAUUUAUGCGUGUCAUUCCUACGCAGGGGCCAUGCUAAUCUUCUCUGUAUCGUUCCAUUUUUAUCGGAUGUCCCUGAAGGGACAAGCGUUCCUGCUACUGUUGAGCUUUAUAAAGAGAGCAAAACUUCUUUCUACAAACGAUGUGGCAGAAAUAACAGUUUGGGGUUUUCACAGGCGCAAACCUAGACUCCUUUUUUUGCUUGUUUCCUCGUCCCAUAUGAACAAGCCCGUCUGUGCCUGGAGUUAAUCUAUAAUGGGUUGGCCUUCUUUAUUUAAUUUGAUUUGCAAUAUGAGAAAUGGUACAGCCUUGCUCUCCAAUUUGUCUACUUUUGGAAACUGCAUUUUAGCUACAGUUUUUUGCUUUUGCUUUUAUGUUCAUUCAUGCAUAUAGAGCCCAACUGAUCCUAGAGUUUAGAUUUGACCCCAAAGAACACUAGUCAGGUCCAUAUUCAACUUGUAAAGAAAUGAAUCUGGACCUUAAUUCAAAUCUAAAAGCUAGCUCAAAAGAUAUAAAAUUGCCUAAGGUAUAUUUUAAGAAACCAUACAUCUCUUGAAGGGUAGAUGUGGAACGGUUUUUACCCCUUCUCACGUUCAAUACUAAAUAUUUAGCGCAUCUACAAUUUUAAUAUGGGCCCCAACAUCGUAAACAAGAAUUGACACGAGUCCUAUCCUUAUACCAUGUAGAGAAAUAAACUUAAGCCUAACUCAAACCCGAAAGCUAUAUCAAGAAAUGAGAAUUCUCUAGUCAUAAUAAAAGAGACUUUUUAUUCCUUAAUGAGCUAUAUGAGACGUUUCACGAACUUGUACCCAUUGAGGUCGUUUAAUUAAUGGGAUAUGAAAGACGAAUAUUCCGUGGGACUAACUAUUUCACCCUUUUAAGAAGUUAUAAAAUGAACCCGAAAUUAUUUAUCCCAAAAUAUUGUCCUUAUAGUAGCCAAUUUUUCUUGGUCUUUCUCCAUAGUCCACAUAAAAGGAGCUUUUAAGAAGUUACCUACUAGCAGUCACUAAUUUUGAAAGGCUGAACAAGAAAUUGAUUGAUAUGCCUGUCUGGUAGCACGAAAAUGGGGUUGAGGGUAAAGUAUUUAUUCAAUCUGGUAAGUCAUAAUAAAAGCAAUUUAUAAUAUUAUUGAUGUCCACUGCUCAUUUCUCGUUUUCUCAAUUUGCCAUGCCUCUAAUCUCUAAUUUCUCAGUCUAUCUAGGUGAAGCCCGUGAUAGAAGGUCCAGGUAUGAAUGCUACUAUGAGUUAACUUAGAAGAAUUAAGAUGAGUUAAGCUAUAAACGAACAGGUUUUAUUUUGACUGAAAUAACCUAUUCAACUCACUUGGCCUUGUCCAUUUUACAUUGGUUGUUCAAUGCAAAUUGAGUAGUCCUUGCAUAUGCACAAUAACUUGUUUAAUGUAUUCAUCUCCUCUUUCCCAUUUGUGUGUGUUUUGCCUAAACUUACUUAAGCAAGACAAACUGUAAACAGAAAUUUAAUUACAUUUAACCUAAUGCCACUUGACAUGAAUCUUCCAAGACAAAUUUGCACACUAAAAACAUAAGGUCGAUACAAUUUGUGUAAUGCACUAGAGGAGAAGAAAUUUCACUACAAUCUAAUCAAUAUGUGUAAAGCCAGAAGCUUUUUAACAUACAUAGAAAAUGAGUGGAAAAGCAAAACACAACCACACGUAGAAAUUGGGAAAAGUUAGGAAAAAAAUUUGGAACAUUUCUCGAUUUGUGUGUGUCAUCCUUGCGCAGGGGCCAUGCUAAUCUUCUCGCAUGCCUGCUACUGUUGUACUUUAUAAAGAGAGAAAAACUUCUUUCUGUAAACGAUGUGGGAGAAAUAACAAGUUAGGCUUGUUUCUUUGUCCCAUCUGAAUAAGUCCAGCUAUGCCCACAACGGGCUCUCUCAUUUGUUUCAAGCAUUUUUAGCUAACAUUUUUUUUUGUGUAAACAACAUAAACCCCUAACUUGGAUGGUGGUUUGCCAUGGUUGCAUAAUGUACGGUACCAUACGUCAUGGUAUUGUACUGUACAGUAUAAUACAAUACCAUGUUUGGAUAGACUGUAUCGUUCAUUGCUGGUUAAUAAUAAUUUUAUUGUUUGGUUUGACAGUAUGGUACUGCAUCGUAACUGAUAAGUUUACUCAAAUAUCUUUAAUGAUUAUAAAUAUUAAAUUUAUCAGUAAUUAUUUGUAAAAAAAAUUUCUUCCUACUAAUUUGACAUAAAUUAUGUCAUGUAGAUAUAUUAAGUUGUUAGAUUCAUGUAAAUUCUAACAAAGUCAAUAAAGAAGAAGAUCAAAAUAACUAUAACCAGAUUCAUUUUUCAUGGUAACAAAUUUUAUCUCUUUUUGGUGUUUUGAGACGUGAUACCAACGACAAAUAUAAAGUUUGAAUGCAUCUCUUGUGUAUGCUAUGUGUAUGUUCGGUGUUGAAUUUUAAAAAAUAUUUUCAAGAAAAAUAUAUUCGUAAAGCUUGGUCUAAAUUUUCUACACGUAUUCGCUUUCGUAAAAUUGGUCAGUUCUCCUUAAUUCAAUUUUUGAGAAAAUGAGAUCUUUUGCUUUCUUACAAAAUGAAUAGAAGAAAAUAGCCUAUUCAAAUUAAACAUCGUUUAAUAGCUGAAUUUUUCCAAUUUCAAUAGAUCUAUUAUCGGGAAAAUAGAGUCGAUUGAUGUGAUAGUUGUUACGUAUCGUUUCAUAAGUUAUUAUGUUUUAUUGUAUUGUAGUGUGCAUUGUUUUAAUGAGUAUAACAUUUGAAGAUUGUACUAUCAUUUUUCGGUUGUUACAUAAUGUUACAUAUUAAUUAAUAAUUUAAAAGAUAAACCUAGAUAAUUACGCAUGCAUAAUUUUCUAUCGAAGGGGAUUCAAUGCCCCCUCGCCCAACUCUACCGAGGUCCGAUUUGAUUACUUUUGUGGACCAAAACAAGUGAAAUUUCAUUUUGAUAUUGGAAGACCUUGAAUACAAGAUAUUUCUUUGCUCUGAUAUUUAUACUAGCUUUAUAGAUUGUUGGGUGUGCGAACAAAAGUCUCAUGAUUGUAGAUGAAAGGAUUAGAAGCUUCAUAUAUCGUGUAGGGUCUUUUAAUGGUACGAGAUCUUUUGAGGAAAACCGUACGGGAUUGACCCAUAACUGAUAAUAUCACAGCAUUUAAAAGUGUCUUUAGGUUGAUUUAGCCAACAUAGAUGAUACACUCUUAUCGUCAGAGUUUAAUCAUUCCAUCCUCUGUUCUACAUAAAAUUAUACAUAGAUUUCCUCAUAAUUUAUACAUGUAUUAGUCAUACGAGUCUCUAAAUUGCAAAUGGAAUGUUGCAUUAGUUUUAUACAUAAUCCUAACUAACUACCAAACAUGGUAUUAUGUAUUACUUAUGCAACAUCUUAUUAUACACAUAGAGUAUUAUUUUUCUUAACCAACUAUAUACCAAACGACCUUUAAUUUGUACUACUAUAUACUAAUGAUGAGUACUACUUUCAAACUCAAUUUUACUAUUCUGAUUGUUCUUUUUGGAAUAAAUUCAUUAUAUAAUCACAAUAAUGCUCACUUUUGAAACUUCUAUUUAUAGGUCGUGUAAAGCUGCGUCGUGAUGAGAGGAAAUGCGAACACGGUGAUGUUCAUAUUUUUUGGGAUAUUCUCAAAAAAAAAUGAAACAGUCGAUGCUGCCAAAUCUCAUUCUGGACGCAAGAAAGUUCGAUUUUGGGAUAUAAUUGAUUGGGCUAAACGUGCCCCCUUCAUUUGUCGUAGCGUGUGAUCGUAAAUUUUUAUUGUAUUUAUUUUGGUUGCAUAUCUCAAAUAUAUACAUACAUAUAUAUAUAUAUAUAUAUAUAUAUAUAUAUAUAUAUAUUUGUGUUUUUUUACUAUAUGAAUGAUCGUGAACUCUUUNNNNNNNNNNNNNNNNNNNNNNNNNNNNNNNNNNNNNNNNNNNNNNNNNNNNNNNNNNNNNNNNNNNNNNNNNNNNNNNNNNNNNNNNNNNNNNNNNNNNNNNNNNNNNNNNNNNNNNNNNNNUUUCAGUAUUUCUUGGUGUGAAAUAAGUUAGUUUUCGGUAUAUACGACUUUGUGACCUUCUGAAUUUGUAGCCAGUCGUGGAGCCAGGAUUUUCACGAAGAGGGUUUAGAAAUAACUUACGAACAAAUCAAAAGGGGUUCAACAUCCACUAUAAUAAUUUUAACCGAAUAGUAUAAUUUUUCACCGAAGGAGGUUCGGUGACCCCUCGCCGAAGGGUAGCUCGGCCCCUGCUUGUAGGCUGUAGCAUUUGCAAAAUAUAACCAUACAAGGGGUGGAGUUAGAGUAUAACAUAUGGGUUCAACUGAACUAAUACGCUUUGGUUCAUUGAUAUACACAAAAUUUUAAUUUAAAAUCCAAUUAUUUAAAAAUUAGAAUCUCAAAUUCAUAAAGUUCUAUCUCCUCUUUACGGCCAUUUGUGUAUGUUCUGCCUACUAAACUUAGGUAAGCAAAGAGAAACUAUAAACAGAAAGUUUGAACCAACGCCAUUUUACAUAAAUCUUCCAUGCAAAAAUUUACACCCAAAAGAUAAGGUCACAACAAUCUAAUAAAUAUGUCUAAAUCAAGAAGCUACACACACAUAAAUUCUUUGAAAAAAAAAUGAACAAGAAGAAAGCAAAUGCUAUGGAUUAUGUGGCGAAAAAAAUUUGGACCAUUUCUCGAUUUGUGCGUGUCAUUCUUGCGCAGGGAUCAUGCUAAUAUUCUCUGUAUCGUUCCAAUUUUAUCGGAUGUCCCCAAAGGGAGAAACAUGCUCAUUACUGUUGUGCAUUAUAAACAAGCAAAACUUCUUUCUGCAAACAAUGUGGGAGAAGUAAUAGGUUGGGCUUUCUAUCUAUAUGGACCUGGACUCCUUUUUCCUUGUUUCCUCGUCCCAUCUAAACAAGCCCUGCUGCGCCUGGAGUUAUAAAUUUGACAUAUGAGACUAAAAUUGUAAAGAUUUGACUAACUUUUGACGUUGUUUUGCCCGAAGCAUGGCCUUAUUAAGGCCAAACAUUUUAUACUGUGGCAUUGCCAUGACCAAGCCUGAAAUAUUAUUUCCAACUUUAACAUUGGAUCGGCAGACUCUAACUUGAGACAUAUAAUAGCUGGUCAAGAAUCAAAUCAAUACGCAUAACCAUAUAUACAAGUAUUGGUGCUAGAGUAUACAGGUUCAGCCAAACUAAUAAGCUUUGGUCCAAAUUUUAUACUGUAUUUGUCUUAAAAAUUCAUUGAUAUACACAAAUUUUUAUUGAAAACCCAAUUACUUUGAGAAAAUUAGAAUCGUGAAUCCAUAAACUUUCAAUUCUCUUAUGUAGCCAUUAUACAUAGAUUGUUCAGUGCAAUUUGAGGAAUCCAAAGCAUAUGCACGAUAACUUGCUUGUGCUCUGCCUGUCACACCCCUUUGUCAACAUCCAAAAGAUUAAUUUUUAAGUUCGAAAGGGUUUUAUUAUAAGUGACAAAAAAUGAAAAUUCUAUUACGAAAAGGAUUUUUUAUAAUUAAAUUCAGAUUCGCCACUUGGCAAAAUCCGGUAUGCCAAGUCACCUUUGGAAAAUUCUUUUCGAAAUGGUUUGACUCUUUAAAACUGGUUUGCGAACAGAGAUUCCGACUAAGGAAUUUUAUUGACUGAGGGGAAGGUGUUAGGCACCCCUAGAUCCUGUGGUUUGACCACGGUAGCUUGGCGGAGCGUAUAGGCUAAUUUGACAUUAUGAAUAUAUAAACCACACAAAACAUGCAAAACAAUCAAUCAAGCAAACAAGAUAAAACAAUCCAAAAUUUAGUGUCCAGUCCAAUUAUACAGUCCAAAAAUAAAAUGUGUAAAAAUAAAUCCUACUCUAAAUUAAUUCUAGACUAAUGCUCUACCCGACGCCUCGGUCCUUCAUCACAAACGUCCUUCGGGUACAUGAUACCUCAGGGAAUUCCCCGGUGAAUAAAUAUAUACAGAUACUUCGGGGUAUUCCCCGGCCAAAUUAUACAAUUGAUUCAAAAGUGAUAAAAUCAAACCAUUCAAUCAACCCACAAUCUCUAGAUUUUGCCUACCCGACCUACGUCUUGCCUAUUCCAAUCGAAGUAUCUUGAUACUACCAAAUUCAAUUAACGUUUAUUUCAAGUCAAACAACUAAUGAAUCAAACUAAUCAAAAUUCACUAAUUAUAUCAAGUUUUCAAUUUUCGCCCCACUUAUUCCAUUUUUAUACAAAAUUCCAACGAUUCAAGAUAGUUAUCUCAACAAUCCACAACUAUCUAUUCAACGAAAUCGAACACCAAAUUAAUGUCACCAAAAUUCAACCACACAUCAGGCAAAUCAAACACGUAUAGUAAAGUAAAAUUAGAAGAGAUAGAGUUGGACAUUAAAUGGACUUUUAUAUGCCAGAUUAUGUGAUUAGAAAAUGGAGCCGGAUUCGAAAUGUCCCGAUUGAACCUCAAACGACAACCCCCAAAUCGAUAUCCACUUUAAACUCGUAGUCUGAUUGAAAACCCAAUUUCUGAACAGAAAUAAAGAAGAAAUAUCAAACCAAACGGGGUCAGUCUUGUAAAGAAAUGAGAGGUACCCAUACUUAAUUCCAAAGAAGCCAACCCGUAUAGAAAUCCCUAGAACUAAUGCUAGUUUCGGUGUUUUUUUUUUUUGGGGGGGGGGGGGGGGGGGGGGGGGAGGGGGACUUAAACCGAUCUGAUUGACAAACGAAAACCAAUUUUGGUGACCCCCUAACAUAUCUCAACCGAAUUCACCCCAAAAAAUCAGAUAAAAACAAAGAUAUUUAGGCGAUUUCAUGAUGGGAACGAUCAAACGAUGAAAGAGAAACCAGUUCCGAUGAGCUCGAGGCCAAAUUUGGCGAGCUUAGAUCGAGAAACGACGAACAUAGGUCACUUCCAGUGAGAUUUCUCCACAGAAUAUCCAGAAACUGACCAAACCUUGUUCAAACUCUCUUUAUCCUCUCAAUUUACCCUUACUGUACUCUACUCUCUCUCUUCACCGCCCUUUCUUGAUCUACUCUCUUCUCGCCAUCUCACUGUGUUGUUAUUCUUUGUGGUAUGUAUCUAUGUAGUAUGUGCAUUAAUGAUGGUUUAUCGUGAGUGAGAUCUGCUAUGGUGAGGAUGAGGGAUCGUAUAUGGGUGAAGUAUGGUGAAUGGAAAAUAUUAGUGAGGGUGUCUGUGAGUAUAUGUUGGAGAAGAAGGUGAAUUCUUCUUCUUUUUUUGUGUGUGCUAUGAGUGUGAGUCUUCAGUGAAGUAUGUAAUUGUGUAUAUGGUAGUUGUGGGUGGGUGUUCUAGUAAGAGUAAAAGAAUGGAAAAAUGGAGCCAUCAAGGAGUGUGUGAGCUGUUGGAAUGGUGAGGAAGGUGUCCGUUAAUGGUGAGGUUAAUGGUGUAUUGUGUGUUGGUUGUUGUGUGGCUAAGUAUAUCUAUGGAAUGGAAAUGGAAGAAUUCUUUUUUUUCAAUGUUCUGUGUAUAAGUGUGUAUAUAUGAAAGGUGAUAGUGUGAGGGAUCACGUGGGUGGGUAGUAGGGUAGGGUAUGGGGUGGUGAUGUGUUGUCCAAAAUUGAUAGGAGGAGUGGUUAAUUUUGUUACCAAAAGAAUAAUUGAGGAUUAAGUUUGUUAGUGGGUUUGUUAUUAUAUUUUUGUAUUUUUGUGGGGUAUAAUCACAUGGGUAAGGGUGUAUGAUAAAGUGAGGUAAAAAUGAAUAAAAUUGAUAUCAGGGAGGGAUAAAAUUAGGUGUUUACAUCAUACCCCCUUUGAAUGUAAACACGAAGUGUUUUCAAAUAAAAAAGUAAACAACGACACAAAAUUUUGUCCCGGCCAUUAUUCAAAGGAAGAAACAAAAAUAAGAAGGAAAAUCGAGUCCUGACUUAGGAAAUCCUACCCACCCAAGUUACGAGGGAAUUAAGUCACAAGUAUCUUAAAGGGUUGGACGAGAAGUGGACUAUACCGAGUUGGAGAGUCGAGGGAGGUUCCAUCGAGGUUUCGGUCCGCGGCUCUGUCAUUACAUCAAAAAUGAAAAUUACAAGUUAAAACAUAAAUGAAAUUACAAAAAUCCUAUCUAUAUAGCUUCUUUUGGACUCUUGACUUGAGUUUCAUCACCCUAUUCUUCAGGCGGGCUCCUGACUUGCUAUUUCUUUAACUUGUUACUUGUCUUUCAAUUUCUUCACCCUGUUCUCCAGGCAGGUUCCUGACUUGCUAUUUCAUCAACUUGUUGCUAUGCUUUCAAUUUCUUCACCCUGUUCUGCAGGCGGGUUCCUGACGUGCUAUUUCAUUAACUUGUUGCUAUGCUUUCAAUUUCUUCACCCUAUUUUGCAGGCGGGCUCCUGACUUGCUAUUUCAUCAACUUGUUUCUAUGCUUUCAAUUUUUUUCUGUUCUGCAGGCGGGCUCCUGACUUGCUAUUUUUCAAUCUGUUUAACUUUUAAUUUCUUCACCUUGUUGCAUGGUUUUCCAUUUAUUCGCCCUUUGCUUCGGUUAUGCUCCUGAAAUCACAUCAAAACUGAAAAAAAAUCAUCCCAAAUAAAGAAAUGCAUUUUCUAUGAGUUAAUUGGAAUGACUCGACUAAAAGGUACGUCUUUUAGGAAUCAAGGGGGAUGACUCGACUAAAUGGUACAUCUUAUAGGAAUCCAGGGGGAUGACUCAACUAAAAGGAAAGUCUUAUAGGAAUCAAAGGGAAAUAACUCGACUAAAAGGUACGUCUUCUAGGAAUCAAAGGGAAUGACUCAACUAAAAGGUACGUCUUCUAGGGGCUAAAGGGAAUGGCUUGACUAAAAGGUACGUCUUAUAGGAAUCAAAGGAAUGACUCGACUAAAAGGCACGUCUUAUAGGAAUCACUAGGGAUGACUCGACUAAAAGGUACAUUUUAUAGGAAUCAAAGGAGAUGACUCGACUAAAAGGAACGUCUUCUAGGAGUCAAGGUGAAUGACUCGACUAAAAGGUACGUCUUCCAGGAAUCAAGACUUAAGUUAGGAAGUGCAUUACCUAAGAAGAAAAAUUCGAAUUAUCCAAUCAAGGAAGUGUGUUUCCUUACCAAUGUUGUUUGACUUAUCAAAACAAUAACGUGCGUCUCCUUACCAAAGCUGCUUGAAUUACCAAAACAAGAAAGUGUGUCUCCUAGAGAUCUUGAAUUAUGAGUUUUACCAUGGUUUUGAUUACCAAACCUAUUCAGCAACCUUGCCUCUUGCAUUUGUUGAGGUGAGAAAUUACGGUCUUUGAUGUUUAGGCUCUGAAAUCCUUGAUCUGAAUGCAACAUGUAUUCCUAUUACAUACAAAGCAAACUUGUGAGUUUAAAAAACAUGGUGGCUAGUAUUUGGCUUUGGCUUUUGAGGCAAUUUCUCCUGCCCCCAUCACAUUUAGCUUUGUUUCCAACCAUUAGCAUAUGUCAUUGACUUGCUGUAUCAUUGACUCAAACUCAGCUUAUUAAGAGUGACUCUGAAACAAACACAGUAUUUCUGCUUUGUCGUGUUUCUCAAAUAAACCCUUUGAACCUUGGUAUUUCCAUAAGUUCCCCGACUUCUCUGUUGACAAAACUUCCUGCAUGCCUUUUUGGGGCUCACAAUCAUGUCUCUUUUAUGUGCUAUCUUUUGUCUUGCUUUGUACAAUUAAAAAAGCUGGUAGCCAGUUUUGAAAUCUUUUCUCACUUGUUUUGACACGGACUUGACUCAAAGACAAAAAACAAAAAAAAGAAUGACAAUUUUUGUUUUGAUAACUGACUUAAGAAAGAUAAAAUUAAAAUAAAGAGAAGAAAGAAAAGACAAUGAAUGUCCCCUUUUAAAACAAAGAAAUGAAAAAUUCAUCUAAAAAUGACAGUCAACACUAAUGAUUAUGCCAUGCAUUUUGGAUUAAGCAGCUUGAUCUUUUCAUCCAAACUUUUUACCCAUUAUUGUUGAGUUAAUGGCCUUGAAACUGAGUUACUUUCUUAGGUCAAUUCCAUUUAAGACCCCAUUCGUCUAGUGGCGCCUUGAAGGGUUUUCGCCAACAAGCUUCUUUCAUUUUUUCUCGGCUAACUAUCGCCUUAUGGUGCCCGUGAGUUUUUUCACCAAUAAGACUCUCUCAUUUUUAUUUCUCUCAACUUGUCAUUGUCUUAUGGUGCUCGUAAGGGUUUUCACCAAUAAGACUCUCUCAUUUUUAUCUCUCUCUCGAUUCCCUAUGCUGAGGAAGACAAAUUGUUCCCAAAUGCAUCAUCAUAUCCCUUGCAUGCUCCGCCUUAACAUCCUCAAAGAUUGAUCUGAAGGUCUUUCUUUAGUUGUAACUUGGCUUUUGGAUAAGGUUAGAAAGAAAGGAUGGCAUGGGGCCCAAACGACACUGGAAGUGGGGUAGGACUUACAACUUUUGGAAUCGACUCAAACAAUAAGGAUUAACUCAUGCCCCAGUUUCUUUUGACUAGGUGACUCUAAAUUGUUUAUUUAGUUAGACUGAGUCUUUAGUAGGGCAGCCUACGUAUCUCACCCCCGAGAAAGGAGAAUCAGGUCAUGCGUAGUUCUGGCAGCUUGUUUUUUCACUUGAUUCUAUUUUUUCUUUUGUUGACUCUUUUCUCUUUGGGACUUUUCUGACUUUAUUUUUCUUUACACUCCUUUUUCUUUUUGGACACAUUUUUCUCUCAUUUCCUUUUGAAAAUUUUUGACUCUAUUGUUUUGCUCGACAUUUUUCUUUUAAGCUUUGCUGACUCUAUCGUGAUUCCAAAAGAGGGGUAUGAAAGAAAAUANNNNNNNNNNNNNNNNNNNNNNNNNNNNNNNNNNNNNNNNNNNNNNNNNNNNNNNNNNNNNNNNNNNNNNNNNNNNNNNNNNNNNNNNNNNNNNNNNNNNNNNNNNNNNNNNNNNNNNNNNNNNNNNNNNNNNNNNNNNNNNNNNNNNNNNNNNNNNNNAUCAAUCCUUAAAAAUGCAAGUACAUAUCAUGCAAUAUGAAAACGAAAGAUGAAGAUCAUUUGUGGUACUUUAACAACACUAACUUCAACUGAGCAUGUAUGUCACUUCUUUUUCUACACUUGUCAAACAUACAACUCCAUUUUCGUUGUACAUUCCUCAUGCUGAAGGACUCAUGACUUCGAGGAGCUGAUUUUCUUCCUGUUCCUUUUGACAUAGGACCACACAUUCACUACUUGACCUAAUUAAGAUAUGUCUUUCAAUUGAUGACCAAGUUAUUCUCAGGAUUUUCAAAAUAAUAACUUUAAUUUUCAAAGAAGGUUUCAACUUGAUCACCAAAUGCCUCAGCACUCUAUCUAUUUCCUCAGAUGCUCUCUUUUUCUAACUUUAACCCUCUGAUUCAAUGUUCAUUCUUAAACUGGAUGUUAAGAUCUAGUUGUAAAUUUCACUAGAAUAUCAUAUCACUAGAGUCAACAUAAAAUGUACUAUGUAAAAAAAAAAAAAACAACACAUAUUUAAAACACAGAAAAAAGGGGACACUCCAUUUAAUAAAAUUAAAGAUAGAAGGGUUUGAACAUAAACUACAAAGGGACAAAACAAGAUAGAUCCCGAACUACAACCCUGAAAUAAUUCAAAAAAUAGAACAAAAGACAAAACAAACUAUCAGACCUCUUCCUAGUAGGGAUAUAGGUUAAUUCUCAAUUGCUCAGCCUGACAACUUAGCCACUGGUUUGCAUAUCAGCAUGACUAGAGCUUUCCUCACUAUCAAUAUUUUGCACCAUAAUUGAUCCAUCAUGAAUCAUCUUUCCAAUUUCUCUUUUCAAAUCUUGACAAUCUUCAAUACUAUGACCCUGAGCCUCAGAAUAAUACGCACACCGUGCGUUAGGAUCAUAAUUUCUUAAAUAUUGAUUAAGGGUGUACCCAAAGAGAGGAGUGAUCAUUUCUUCCUGUACCAAUCUCUGAAAUAAAGUGGCUUAUGACUCUCCAAUUGGUGUGAAGAUAUCUCUCGACUUCUGCCUCAUUUCAUUGUUUGGCUUGGAUAGAAAAUCUGGCUUAGAAGGGUUUUGGUAUGUUUGUGGAGUUAGAGGAUGACUCUGGGGCAUUGGCGUAUGCCAUUGUGGGUAAGAUGAGGGUUGAACAUGUGAUUGUGCAUUAUACACUGGAUAUGGAUGUGGAGGAACAGAGUAUAAUGGAUUUUGGGAGUGAUUAUGUGGAGCCUGGGCAUAAACUUGAGCUUGAUCCUGAGAUCGACGACGACGUGGUCUUCUUGACCUUUCUUGCUGUCCAACUAUAAUUGCAGAUGCAUCUUCCUCAUUCUUUUUCUCCCCAACACUUCCUAAACCCUUUUGAAUUACUUGACUAGUCACUUUCAAUGUUGCAAAACUCACAAUGCGACUAGUCUUAAUUCCUUCUUGUAUCAUCUCCCCCAUUUUAAGGACCUCAAUGAACGGCUUGCCUAAUGCAGGUAACAAGUGUUCAUAAUAUGUUUCGUCCUGCGCUUGAAUAAACACCUCCACUAUUUUGCUUUCUUUCAUUGGUGGUUUUACUCUAGCAACUUGUUCGCGCCAUCUGAUCGCAUACUCCCUGAAACUCUCAGUAUUCUUCUUUGUUAUACUAGUUAGGGAUUUUUCAUCAGGGAUCAACUCACCAUUGUAUUAAAAUUGUUGCACAAAUUCGUUAGCUAGGUCAUCCCAACUAAUCUAUUUGUCAAUGUCUUAGUCAACAAACCAUUCUGAAGCUAGUCCUGAAAGACUCUCACCGAAAUAUGCCAUGAGUAAUUCUUCCUUCCCUCCAGCACCCCUUAGCUGGUUGCAAUAGUGUCUCAAAUAGGCUACAGGAUCGCCAUGUCCGUCAUACUUCUCAAACUUCAGUAUUUUAAAACCAAGAGGAAGAUGUACACCAGGAAACAUGCACAGAUAUUUAUAUGAGACACUUUUGUACCCCCCAAGUCCUUGCAAGUUUUUCAUAGUCAGUUCCAAACUUCUCAAUUUUCUGGCUAUUUUCUCUUGUUCUUCGAUCAUAACAGGCUUCUCAGUGUUACGAGGAAAUUCAAGAGGUUGAGGGCAAUCGUAAGGACCAGUCGACUUAAAUGUAGAAGAGCAUAAUGCUGAUCACUAAAAAUAUUCAAUACAGGCUCUCUUGUAGAGUAGGGAGGCAUAACUUGUGGAUGAACAUCAAAAGUAGGAGGUAGGGGUGGCGCCGCAAAAGCAUGAACAGCAACUGGAGCCGAGUAUGUGGUAGUCUUGGAUUGGGGAGUGAGGAAAUGAACAUUGGAAGUGGUGGAUAUUAUUGCCCCGGAGUCGAUCCUGAUACAUGUUGCGGCAUAUCAACUUGUCAAAAGAAUUGACGAAAAUGUUUUUGAAUUUUUCAGCUUUAACAUCCCUAUACAAAGUGAAAUCUAUGAUUACCAAAGAAAAUCGUUUUGGGUUUUCAGUUUUAAAUUUCAUAUGAAAAUGGAACUUGAACCUAAUAAAGAAUCUUUUUGUAGUUUUCUUUUAAAGAUGUAUAUGAAACACCUACUCUAAAUGAAGAGUGAAGAAAAUCUUUAUGAAUUUUUGAAAUAAGAUCAACCAAAAAUGAAACCUACGACUAUUGAGAAAAAUCUUUUUUUUUCUUUGUAUUUUUCUUUUCAAUACAUGUAUGAAACACCUGCUCUAAAUAAAGAGUUGAAAAAAAUAUUUUUUAAUUAAUUUUUUUUUAAAUAAGAUCCCCCGAACCAACAAUAGGCUGCCUACGUAUCUCACAUCCCGAAAGAGGAGAAUCAGGGGUGCGUAGUUCGUCCAGAUAGGAUAAUUAAUGAUUAAAUAAUCGACUGAACCCUGACUUGAGAGACGCGAUUACAGACAGACGAUAAAAGACGUCAAUAAAAUCUUUUUUAAGUUUUUUUUUUUUUUUUGCAAUUUGAUACUUUAAAUAAAACUGACACCAACAAUUAUGAAAGAAAAACUCUUUUUGGGUAUUUAGUUAUAUAAAAUGUACAAAACUUCUACCAGCUUUUUUAAAAUUCUUCUUUUAUAAAAAGCCCCUAAAAAAAUCAUUUUGGAGUUUUCGAAUUGUGAAAGCUUGCUAAAGAAAGCAAAAGGAGAAUCUUUUUUUAUUUUUUUUCUUUUUUUUUUUGAAUUUUUGAAUCGUGGAAAACAAAAGCCAUAAAGAACCUAAAAACUACAAAACUCUUCUUUGAUUCACCUUUUCUCUUUUUUUUUUCAAGCACACCUUACUUCUAACACAUGUUUUCCCGAAUCAGUCUGUCAAAUGACCACAUUACCCUCAAAGAUGCAACAUUUAGCACAUGGGGAUGCUUUAAAGGUGAGUCUCCUAUAAAGAACCAUGUGGGCCCCGCUAGGUCUCAAUAUGAUGCACAUAAGAAUGACCUAAAGGCUGACCUACGUUGUGGUUUACUAACAAGGCUGUUCGGGGGAGCAUAUGGUCGAUAGUGGCUACUUUGCUUUCCACCUACUCCAUACAUCCAACGGCUCCCCCCCUAAAAUAAAGGUGACUCAACUAGAGUUCGUGCGCACGAUGUGCGCUCCGAGACUUGUUGCGAAAAGAAUGACUCGGGUUAUGCACAUGAUGUCAGAUAUAAAAGCGGUAAAUACAUAGGAUAAAUACUGUAAACAAAGAGCACGAAAACACACAAAAGUGAAAACACAAACAAAAAUCACAAACAAUAUUUAUACACUCGUAAUGCCAAACAAAGUUGAUACGACUCAAAAAAAAAAGCUCAGAUUCUGAAAUAGUUCCCCAGCAGGGUCGCCAGAGCUGUCACACCCCUUUUUCAACAUCCAGAAGAUUAAUUUUUAAGUUCGAAAGGGUUUUAUUAUUAAGUGACAAAAAAUGAAAAUUCUAUUCCGAAAAGGAUUUUUUAUAAUUAAAUUCAGAGUCGACACUUGGCAUAAUCCGAUGUGCCAAGUCACCUUUGGAAAAUUCUUUUCGAAAUGGUUUGACUCUUUAAAACUGGUUUGCGAACAGAGAUUUCGGCUAAGGAAUUCUAUUGACCGAGGGGAAGGUGUUAGGCACCCCUUGAUCCCGUGGUUUGACCACGGUUGUUGGCGGAGCGUAUAGGCUAAUUUGACAUUAUGAAUAUGUAAACCACACAAAACAUGCAAAACAAUCAAUCAAGCAAACAAGAUAAAACAAUCCAAAAUUUAGUGUCCAGUCCAAUUAUACAAAAUGUGUAAAAUAAAUCCUACUCUAAAUUAAUUCUAGACUAAUGCUCUACCUGACGCCUCGGGCCUUCAUCACAAACGUCCUCCGGGUACAUGAUACCUCGGGGCAUUCCC